UCAGGAUGAACGCUAGCUACAGGCUUAACACAUGCAAGUCGAGGGGCAGCAUGGUCUUAGCUUGCUAAGGCCGAUGGCGACCGGGGCACGGGUGAGUAACACGUAUCCAACCUGCCGUCUACUCUUGGACAGCCUUCUGAAAGGAAGAUUAAUACAAGAUGGAAUCAUGAGUCCGCAUGUUCACAUGAUUAAAGGUAUUCCGGUAGACGAUGGGGAUGCGUUCCAUUAUAUAGUAGGCGGGGUAACGGCCCACCUAGUCUUCGAUGGAUAGGGGUUCUGAGAGGAAGGUCCCCCACAUUGGAACUGACACACGGUCCAAACUCCUACGGGAGGCAGCAGUGAGGAAUAUUGGUCAAUGGGCGAGAGCCUGAACCAGCCAAGUAGCGUGAAGGAUGACUGCCCUAUGGGUUGUAAACUUCUUUUAUAAAGGAAUAAAGUCGGGUAUGGAUACCCGUUUGCAUGUACUUUAUGAAUAAGGAUCGGCUAACUCCGUGCCAGCAGCCGCGGUAAUACGGAGGAUCCGAGCGUUAUCCGGAUUUAUUGGGUUUAAAGGGAGCGUAUAUGGAUGUUUAAGUCAGUUGUGAAAGUUUGCGGCUCAACCGUAAAAUUGCACUUGAUACUGGAUAUCUUGAGUGCAGUUGAGGCAGGCGGAAUUCGUGGUGUAGCGGUGAAAUGCUUAGAUAUCACGAAGAACUCCGAUUGCGAAGGCAGCCUGCUAAGCUGCAACUGACAUUGAGGCUCGAAAGUGUGGGUAUCAAACAGGAUUAGAUACCCUGGUAGUCCACACGGUAAACGAUGAAUACUCGCUGUUUGCGAUAUACUGCAAGCGGCCAAGCGAAAGCGUUAAGUAUUCCACCUGGGGAGUACGCCGGCAACGGUGAAACUCAAAGGAAUUGACGGGGGCCCGCACAAGCGGAGGAACAUGUGGUUUAAUUCGAUGAUACGCGAGGAACCUUACCCGGGCUUAAAUUGCAGAUGAAUUACGGUGAAAGCCGUAAGCCGCAAGGCAUCUGUGAAGGUGCUGCAUGGUUGUCGUCAGCUCGUGCCGUGAGGUGUCGGCUUAAGUGUCAUAACGAGCGCAACCCUUGUUGUCAGUUACUAACAGGUUCCGCUGAGGACUCUGACAAGACUGCCAUCGUAAGAUGUGAGGAAGGUGGGGAUGACGUCAAAUCAGCACGGCCCUUACGUCCGGGGCUACACACGUGUUACAAUGGGGGGUACAGAGGGCCGCUACCACGCGAGUGGAUGCCAAUCCCCAAAACCUCUCUCAGUUCGGACUGGAGUCUGCAACCCGACUCCACGAAGCUGGAUUCGCUAGUAAUCGCGCAUCAGCCACGGCGCGGUGAAUACGUUCCCGGGCCUUGUACACACCGCCCGUCAAGCCAUGGGAGCCGGGGGUACCUGAAGUGCGUAACCGCGAGGAGCGCCCUAGGGUAAAACUGGU
Molecule: ribosomal RNA, 1444 nt
Filed under: uncultured organism
Description: SSU rRNA
Rfam family: Bacterial small subunit ribosomal RNA
Source: RNAcentral